This 538-nucleotide ribosomal RNA is filed under the name uncultured bacterium. RNAcentral describes it as "bacterial SSU rRNA". It matches the Rfam family "Bacterial small subunit ribosomal RNA", at positions 772 to 1314 of the family's 1533-position model. The record is from RNAcentral.
ACGCAAUAGAUACCCAGGUAGUCCACGCCCUAAACGAUGUCUACUAGUUGUCGGGUCUUAAUUGACUUGGUAAACGCAGCUAAACGCGUGAAGUAGACCGCCUGGGGAGUACGGUCGCAAGAUUAAAACUCAAAGGAAUUGACGGGGACCCGCACAAGCGGUGGAUGAUGUGGAUUAAAUUCGAUGCAACGCGAAAAACCUUACCUACCCUUGACAUGGAUGGAAUCCUUGAGAGAUUGAGGAGUGCCCGAAAGGGAACCAUUACACAGGUGCUGCAUGGCUGUCGUCAGCUCGUGUCGUGAGAUGUUGGGUUAAGUCCCGCAACGAGCGCAACCCUUGUCAUUAGUUGCUACGAAAGGGCACUCUAAUGAGACUGCCGGUGACAAACCGGAGGAAGGUGGGGAUGACGUCAAGUCCUCAUGGCCCUUAUGGGUAGGGCUUCACACGUCAUACAAUGGUACAUACAGAGGGCCGCCAACCCGCGAGGGGAGCUAAUCCCAGAAAGUGUAUCGUAGUCCGGAUUGUAGUCUGCAACUCG